CCCCUCCCGCGGCUGCGGUAGAGAAGCUCCGCGGCGCAGCCACGUGUCUCGUCAGCCGCGAUUAUCUCCCGGCCCCGGUGUCUCCGCUGCGGGCGCAGCUUCUGCCGGGCCGGUAAACCAAUCCAGAUGCAAGUGCAGACUUGGAAGGAAAAGAUAGACCAAGGAGAGGAGAAAACAGAAAUACAUGGAGAACGCAGGUGCUGAGAGACGGAAAGAUAUGCUGGAAA
RNAcentral lists this long non-coding RNA (227 nucleotides) under Gopherus agassizii (Agassiz's desert tortoise). RNAcentral's name for it is "lncRNA (ENSGAGG00000020177.1)". The record is from RNAcentral. Lineage: Eukaryota; Metazoa; Chordata; Testudines; Testudinidae.